Molecule: non-coding RNA, 149 nt
Filed under: Allocatenococcus thiocycli
Lineage: Bacteria; Pseudomonadati; Pseudomonadota; Gammaproteobacteria; Vibrionales; Vibrionaceae
Description: Catenococcus thiocycli TPP
Rfam family: TPP riboswitch aptamer (THI element)
About the family: Vitamin B(1) in its active form thiamin pyrophosphate (TPP) is an essential coenzyme that is synthesised by coupling of pyrimidine and thiazole moieties in bacteria. The previously detected thiamin-regulatory element, thi box was extended, resulting in a new, highly conserved RNA secondary structure, the THI element, which is widely distributed in eubacteria and also occurs in some archaea.
Source: RNAcentral
UCCAACUCAUCGGGGAGCAACCCCAUUUUGUAUUGUGUUGAUCAAUACUUAAGGGCGCUGAGACCUAAUGGCUUAACCUAGUUAGGCUACGGGGACCCGUAAUACCUGAACCAGAUAAUGCUGGCGUAGGAAUUGAGUCUGGAUAUUAG